AGAAACAGUUAACUGUGACGUUCAGUGGAGGGAGAGGGGACGUUAGAGUGAAGCUACCCCCCCACACAGACACAAUCACACACACGUGUUACACAUCGUCUGCUCAUAACAACUUGUGUGACCGACUCCAACUCUGUCUGAAAGUCGCAGAUGGGACAGGAUAUCAGCUCCCACGUGUCUGUGAGACCUCGCAGUGGAUGGACACAGCUUGUUGGCGCUGCGGACAGCAGAGACUGCUGUGUGGGCUGAAUGACAUGACACCUCGUCCCCUCUCUGAUUACGAGCAAGAUUACACAAAAACUACUGGACAUAUUUCCACGAACCUCGGUGGAAGGAUUGGGUCAGGGAAGAACCAAUCCAAUUUUGGGUUGGAUCAGGGCAAGUAUUUUUAAUCACUUUCUUUAACAUUGUGAGAUGAAUUACUGAUUUCACAGGGAAUAAUUCAUGGACCUUGAUGAAAGGCGUGUUUAGGUCCAGUCAAGUCAAGUCUAAUCUUAGUCUGACCUUAAGUGCUUAAAAAACAGAGAAAAAACUAGAUAGAUAGAUGGAUAAAGGACAGACAUCCAAGUACGAUCAUACUUUAUUGAUCCCGAACGGGUAAAUUCCUGAAGAGGGUCUUCAGCGAUGGUUUAAAUAUUUUAAGGGGACUGUUGGACCCUGGCAGGCGUAUGAGCUCUACGGGCAUUCUAUUGAAAUUUGCAUUUUGAGACGCCCAAAAAAUCCUUAGUGACAAAUACAAAAGAUGACGACAGUAUAAUGCUUCAUCAAGACCCCCUACUACGAUAACCAGCCUCCCACACACUAUCAAAACAAAGAGCCACCUUGUAAUAUUGUUAUUAAUCAUUUUUUCUAAAUGUGUCAGAAGCAAACCAUGCCAUGGCAUUUAUUCAGUCUUGGAAUCAUUUAGUUUUUUCUAAAGCUUCAUAUGAAUACAUUUUAACCACAAUUCAUUGUUAAUUUGAGAAGUAAGAGGGUUUUGUGUACUUUGUGUGGAUAUUAUACUGUACUGAGGAAACCUGAUUCACAAUCCAAUAAUCCAAACACCUCCACUGUCAAAUCAAGAACAGUCUCAGAGAGAAAGUGAAACAAGCUGAAAUACUGUAGUGCACUCUAGAGAUAUUUGAAGCCCUUCUGAAGCAACCAAUCUACUGAGCAGUCUGUGAGAGACCGGGCUCUUAGCAGCCAUCAAUAGCAAUUGCUGAGGAACUCAGUGUGAAUGUUAUUGAAUUAAACUCGAAAAGACCAAAUGCCUCAAACGUCUGCCUCCAUCGAUUGUUAGUCAACAACAGAGAGUUGACAUUUGCACAAAUUUGAUUCAGUCCAUUGUUGCAGACCCAUGGAUUUAUGUUUAUGUUUAUUCAACAGCAUUAAUAAAAGAUUGGGUGAUCACAACAAAUGAUUUUAAUUUUACUUUUCAUCUUCAAUAGUAUCUCUGUCCAUAAAAAGGAACUUCUA
Hippoglossus stenolepis (Pacific halibut) is the source of this 1455-nucleotide long non-coding RNA. RefSeq lists it as uncharacterized. The transcript is spliced from 3 exons. Lineage: Eukaryota; Metazoa; Chordata; Actinopteri; Pleuronectiformes; Pleuronectidae. The record is from RefSeq and is a predicted model, not a curated record.